This 393-nucleotide long non-coding RNA is filed under the name Populus tremula. RNAcentral's name for it is "long non-coding RNA (PTRE_LNC000422)". The record is from RNAcentral. Lineage: Eukaryota; Viridiplantae; Streptophyta; Magnoliopsida; Malpighiales; Salicaceae.
UUUCGAGCCAAUGACGAUCCCUGCAAAGAACAAAGAACCAAAGAAACUGACAAGCUGGCAAUGCGGUUUAGGUGGUAAUGGAGGAUUCGGCGACCAUGAUUAUCCUAAUCCCGGCGAACAACAACUAAUUUGUUUUGUUGCGUAGAUACGAUAGAUUAUACGAGGAGUGACAUGUGAGGAUAAUGUUAACAACUCUGCCUUUUUUUUCUUGUCCUUAUGGCAAAGACUUUUCAGCCCGUUGAGUGAUCAGAUCAGACGCAGUGGCACCUAUCAUAAUAGCCUAGACUUGAUAUAGAUUUCCUGUUGCCAUGAGAAAGAAAUUUGAAACUUUUUUGCUCAUGUGUUAAAUCACGGCACAGUGCCUGCCAGGCGUUUGAGGAAAUUACAACAAGA